CUCACCAAAAACACAGGGCGGACGAGCAGUAGCCACUGGAAGAUUCUCGCGGCCCCAACGCUCCCCGAACCGGCGAUGGGGCGGGAGGCGACGAAGCUCGACGCCGAGCAGCAGCAGCUCCUGCUGCGCCGCUGCCGCCGGCUCUUCACCGCCGAAGAGCGCUCGUUCCACAUGGAUCGGCGCUCGCAGGCCGCCUCCGCCCUCCGCGCUGCCGUCGCCGACGUGCUCUCCCGCUUCCUCGGCACCUACACGGACGAAACCCUUGCGGAGUACAUUGUAAUUUUAAUCUGUAAUGGAAAACAUCAAUAUCAAGCGCGUGACGACUUGGAGGCCUUUCUUGGUGAUGACAGUGCAAAAUUUGUUGCAUGGCUUUGGAGUUAUCUGAGCAAACAGGCUGUGACAUCAGCUAAUAAUUGUAACUUUGAACUUGGGAUGGACAAUGAGAUUGAGAACUUGAAUGACAAGAGAAAUCUUCUUGUUGUGAAAGCCCACCAUGGGGAUGCUCAUGAUGUAAACUCAAAGAUCUCAGUACCAGAAACAUACCAUGGUCUUCAUAAGCUUGAUUCAACUACAGGACGAAAUGUGCCUCUGCGGUGUAUCAGCUCCACUGUUAUAAUUUCUCCUGAAAAAUUGCGCAGCGAUCAGUGCAUUUGGGAGAAUCAGCAUCACAAGCAGAAUGGUCAAAACGCAGCAAGCAGCAGAAGCUUCUCUGAAAGGACUACACAAAUAUUAAUGCAAGAGGAACUUCAUGCAGAGCACCUCGGAAGAAAUGCUUCUACAAGAUGGUUGCCUGAGGCUGUGGGAAUCGAUGAUGGAAGAGUACCAGUGUCCCUGAAACGACGUCGCAAUGUCUGGGAUAGGCUAGGGAAGCCUGUUGUAGAAGAUCGUGUUUUAGUUAGACAAGCUCAUGGCAUAUCUGUUCAAAAUGGAGUACAUAAGAUGCCCAAGUUGAUGGUGGCUGAGCAUGAACAAAGAUACGAUGUCAUCUCAAAUGCACAAAAUGAAACAGGUUCCAGAAAAUUCACCAAUGGCUUUACAGAUGUCAACACAUUGCAAGGACAACAGCAUGCGGGGAAGCCAAAUAGAAGCAGGCUUAUUGGCCGGCUAAGUUUUGGUAAAGGAAAUGUGUUUCAUGGUGAUAUGGGACGCAAUAAUCAUCAAGAUAGAGAUGUUAUCAGCCAGAAGUCUAGUUUGUCAUUGCCAAUCAAAAGCAUUCAAUCCCAAAGUUUGGAUGAGUUCACAUGUGACAUGAAGGACUCACCUGCUGCUGUUUCUGAGCCCACAUGUAAUAUAUUCAAACCAUCAAAAGGUCAUGUGUUGGCUUCCAAAAAGUUGCCUCCACUAACUAUGCAGAGAAAUUCAGAAACUGAAGUAUUGCAUCGUGAGCAAGUUAGCAGCCCUGCACAGUCAAAGACUCCAUCGUCUGUACAUGAAGAUGGUAACAGUUGCAGGAACAAGCCUGUGAAAGAAGAAAUUUUGGAUGUCAAACUAAAGCUCAAGCAAAUGGAACAAGACGUCCUCAAGCUUCGUUCCCAGCAGGCACAGAUAAACAAUGGAAAGCAAGGAGCCCUAUCAUUAGGCCCCCAUGCUAAUUCGGAAGAAGAUGCUGACUCCAGAACUAUUUUCGUCAGAAAUGUAUGUACAUUUUGCGGCAACAAAGGAAGCAUUGUCAAUGCAUUUCAUGAAGUGUGGCACUGUGCUUAAGGUUAACAUUUUGACAGAUGCCAUUACUGGCCAACCUAAAGGGGCUGCAUAUAUUACAUUUGCUGACAGGGAAUCUAUUGAGAAGGCUGUAUCUUUGAAUGGGACAUCAUUUCUCACCAGAGUACUCACUGUAAUGCAUAAAGCUGAUGCACCUCCAGGAUUUUUGGCAUCUAUUCAACAGGCUGGGGGCUCUAUGCCUGUGCAGCCAUGGAAGUCGCCACCGCUCAAGAAAGUGUCAACCCCAAAGGCCACUGGUUACCAUCUCCAGUGGAAACGCGACCAGUCUGUGUUGGAGAAAUCCCCUGCCAGCUGCGCCACCAACUGAUUAUCAAAUUUGGGAAUACAAGAAAAUCACACUUGCGCUACAUCUGCUUGCAAUGCCAAUGCACACAGCUUCGCACGAGGGUGACCAUAUGGUUUAUAACAGAUUAAAGAAAGAAUGUUUUUCUUUGGUAUCUGUUAAUGUUCCUGGCAGGUUUUUUCAGAGGCGGAUUCAUGAGAUGAGAUAGGUUUUUCCCGCAGCCAAAUAUAAAGGCCCCAGUAUCGGAUAUGCUGUAGUUCCAUGAAACCUUCGACCUCUGAAUGAUGGCUGCCGUUCCAGUGACAUGAAAUGUAAUUACAUUUCGGGAACUUAACAUAAGUCUGAAAAUAUAGAGAAGCAAAGCUUGGGUUUAGACUUUAGACCCAUCAUUUCAUUC
RNA transcript from Panicum virgatum (switchgrass), 2402 nucleotides. RefSeq lists it as uncharacterized. The record is from RefSeq and is a predicted model, not a curated record. The transcript has 11 exons. Lineage: Eukaryota; Viridiplantae; Streptophyta; Magnoliopsida; Poales; Poaceae.